UACGUAGGGUGCAAGCGUUGUCCGGAAUUAUUGGGCGUAAAGAGCUCGUAGGCGGUCUGUUGCGUCGGCUGUGAAAACCCGGGGCUCAACCCCGGGCCUGCAGCCGAUACGGGCAGACUAGAGUUCGGCAGGGGAGACUGGAAUUCCUGGUGUAGCGGUGAAAUGCGCAGAUAUCAGGAGGAACACCGAUGGCGAAGGCAGGUCACUGGGCCGCAACUGACGCUGAGGAGCGAAAGCAUGGGGAGCGAACAGG
RNAcentral lists this ribosomal RNA (253 nucleotides) under uncultured bacterium. RNAcentral describes it as "partial 16S ribosomal RNA". It matches the Rfam family "Bacterial small subunit ribosomal RNA", at positions 524 to 776 of the family's 1533-position model. The record is from RNAcentral.